This 515-nucleotide small RNA is filed under the name Pongo abelii (Sumatran orangutan). RNAcentral's name for it is "processed transcript". Lineage: Eukaryota; Metazoa; Chordata; Mammalia; Primates; Hominidae. The record is from RNAcentral.
UCACUGUUGCCCAGGCUGAAGUGUGGUGCUAUUUAUAGGCAUGAUCAUAGCUCGGGACCUACUUCCCUUGGGAAUCUCAAUACUUGAAACAAGAACCUCCUGGAUGGACCCUUCGGCAAAAUGAAUUGGACCAACUGUAGGUUCCAGGACUGGAGAGCCAGCAAUGCCUCCCUGGUCAAUCCCACCCAAUUACUCUGCUCAGGAAAUGAGGUAACUGACAGACAGCCAAGGCAGCCCCUUAGGCAGCUUAGGCCUCCCCUGUGGAGCAUCCCUGCCGGGGACUCUGGCCAGCCUGAGUGACGCGAUCCAAAGAGCACUCCGUGUAGGAAAUUGCCCUGGUGGAAUGCCUCACCAGAGCAGUGCGUAGCAGGCCCCUGCAGAGGAUUAACACAGUGGCUGAACACCGGGAAGGAACUGGCACUUGGAGUCUGGACAUCUGAAACUUGGUAAGACUAGUCUUUGGAACUUACCCCACUCCAUCUGAGUGGAAGCGUGGCCUGAUAACCCAUGACGUG